CUUUCCACAAGUUGCAAGGUGGGUGAGGAGGAAGCACAGAAGUUGUGUGGGGUAGAAAAAGCCUGGGGAAAAUGGUGCCUUUAGGCCACCCAUCACGUGCCUCAAGUUCCAAAGAAUGUGAACAGCAGGAAAAGAGAUUUGCCCUCUCCCCACUGUCAUACAUGUGACAGUAGAAAGCUGAAGAUUUGAGCCAGAAACUGGUCACCUUUUUAUUUUACCUGAAGGUAAAACCUGACCCAAUUCAUCAAUAUUCUCUCAAGCUUCCUUGACCAGGAGCCCAGAGUUAGAAGAUGCUUGCUGCCCCUUCGCAUUUCAUUAGGAUUGUAAGUUUCCUGAGGCUUCCCCAGCCAUACAGAACUGAGCUGGGGAUACAGCAGUGAACUUUUGGUGGAGCUUGUAUUCCAGUGAAGAGAAGACAGACAUCAAAGCAUACGCUAUAUAGGAAACAUGGUUGGGAGGCCUCUGGAAACAUACAAUGAUAGCAGAAGGCAAAGGAGAAGCAGGCACAUCCUACAUGGCGGGAGCAGGAGGAAGAGAGAGAAGAGGUGGGUGCUACAGACU
RNAcentral lists this long non-coding RNA (561 nucleotides) under Homo sapiens (human). Its description in RNAcentral is "HSALNT0303706". The record is from RNAcentral. Lineage: Eukaryota; Metazoa; Chordata; Mammalia; Primates; Hominidae.